UAGGGAAUCUUCGGCAAUGGGGGGAACCCUGACCGAGCAACGCCGCGUGAGUGAAGAAGGUUUUCGGAUCGUAAAGCUCUGUUGUUAAGGAAGAACGAGUGUGAGAAUGGAAAGUUCAUGCUGUGACGGUACUUAACCAGAAAGGGACGGCUAACUACGUGCCAGCAGCCGCGGUAAUACGUAGGUCCCGAGCGUUGUCCGGAUUUAUUGGGCGUAAAGCGAGCGCAGGCGGUUAGAAAUGUCUGAAGUGAAAGGCAGUGGCUCAACCAUUGUAGGCUUUGGAAACUGUUUAACUUGAGUGCAGAAGGGGAGGGUGGAAUUCCCUGUGUAGCGGUGAAAUGCGUAGAUAUAUGGAGGAACACCGGUGGCGAAAGCGGCUCUCUGGUCUGUAACUGACGCUGAGGCUCGAAAGCGUGGGGAGCGAACAGG
Molecule: ribosomal RNA, 429 nt
Filed under: Verrucomicrobiota bacterium
Lineage: Bacteria; Pseudomonadati; Verrucomicrobiota
Description: Verrucomicrobia bacterium partial 16S ribosomal RNA
Rfam family: Bacterial small subunit ribosomal RNA
Source: RNAcentral